Small nucleolar RNA from Nycticebus coucang (slow loris), 133 nucleotides. RefSeq annotates it as small nucleolar RNA SNORA51. NCBI's taxonomy places the organism in Eukaryota, Metazoa, Chordata, Mammalia, Primates, Lorisidae. The transcript has a single exon. The record is from RefSeq and is a predicted model, not a curated record.
AGCCAGCCUGGUGCUUACCAAAGGCUGUGUUCUUGCACUGACUGUAUAGAAAGAGGAGGCAGAGUAAACCUACCCUACAUACACCCCAGCCCAGGCCCCAUACCUGGUCUGUAUUGUGAAUGGGGGAACAUGG